UCCAUCAAUAGCUCAGAUUUAUAAUAAUAAAUAUUGUUUAGAUAUUUCAAUACAUUGAUAAAUAUACAAAAUAUUACAGAGAUAAAUUACUUUUGAAUGAUUGCAGACAAUUGAAUGCUACUUUCAAGCACUCUUGAAGUCAAAAGGCGAUAGACGAAAAAAAAUUAUAUUCAGCCACUAUUCUGCCAGUGUUGUUGUAUUUGGGGAGAGGUCUGCAUUGUCAAAUCACAGUUUACGAAAGGUUAACUUUGAAGACUACAAUGCUCUCAUUGGAUUCAUUAAUGUACACAGAAACCACUGGAAAUUUCUGUAUCUCAACAGGAAUAUGCAGAAAGUGUUUGUGGUGGAUCCCCAAGGGAAUGAAGAAGAGAAAGAUUUUCAACUUGCUGCCAAAAGAUUCAGGCAGUACUUCAAAAUGCGUCAGAUACGGCAUGCUAAGACAGACUGGGUGGAUGUGAAAUGUUUUGAAGCACAUUAACCAAGAAGACGGUUACAGCCGCAGAGUUUAUGUCAUGCAGGUAACCAAGCAAUUUUCAGUGGCAGCUCGUGGGUUUUAAAAUAGAGGAGGCACACUAAUUGUAUUGGUCUGGGGAUCCCUGCCAAUUAUUAGUAUUUGCUUAACUACUUUAAAAUGUUUUUUUUUUUGGUUUCCUUUAGUCAGAAAACGUAAAGAAAACAACACAACAAACAGCCAGGAUAAUAUAACUUCACUUACCUGGCCUAUCAUCUGAAUCAAACAUCCAUAAAAGUCUAUGUUAAAAGAAAGGUGCCUGUUGUGCCUUUUAAUUAAGCCGUGACUGCUGUAGCCUAUCCAGUUUAGGUGUGCUUUCGCUUUAUUUGUAAUUUAUAUAUGUACUGUUUUAAUGAGAGCUUGGUAAAUCUUUUGGGGGUCAAAUAUUCACUAUCACUACUUAUCAUAAGUACUUGGUACAUUAUCAGUGCAGCGGAGAUGUUCAAACUAAUAUCACGUAAUUUACGUCUCUAUGAUUAUUGAUAUACCAGAAUAGAGGCUAAACUCCCUUGCUACGUUUAUUUUCUCAACACUUCUCAGCGCUAAAAGUGAACACUAGAUGCUGAUUGGCAAAUGUUUUUACCAACGGAGGCAAAAGAGCUCAGCUCUCCGGGCCUCCCCUCCCCUUAUCUAUCACAUAUUGUUUCUAAUUAAAUCAGCAAAUUUGGCAUAUUCGCGAUAGGAAAGCAGUGCUUUCCAACUUCAGUAACCUGUUGUGGUAUUAUAGCUGUGAAAUUACAAACAAAAACAUACACAUUCUGAGACAUGAAAUCAAGGAAUUGUGAAUUUUAUUAAUAUUAAAUCGUCGUCCUCCCAUUUUUACUUAAAAAUUUUGGGAAGCUGUGUCUCCCUUGCCUCCGCCGACAAACCGCCACUGGCAAUUUUAUGUAGCAUUUCAACAACAAUCAUUUUUGCACAGCCUCAGUAGUGUAAUAUUUACUUUUAUUAUUCUGCUAUAGCUAAUGUGUUUUGCAUUUACAUUUGAUUUAUGUGAUUCAAAAGAUGGCUAAGGAAGUAGUGGAGGCUUUUCCUCAGACACCAUCGAAAAUCAUAAUACCUUCAUGUAAGCGCAGCCUCGCAGAGCUUCGUAAGGACAUGGCUGUAACAAUCCUACAAGCAUCAGGUAUGUUUUGCAUCUGUCAAUCCAUCCAUCCAUCCAUCCAUCCAUCUAUCUAUCUGUAUGUUAAAGUUUGAACAGUUUAAAGAGAAAACUGAUUUUUUAAUAUUGUGAUUACAGUGUUCAACCCAAAGGAACAUUGCUCCUUUUGUUGCCUACAUUCUCCUCCUGGACGUGUUGGUCUGAACACAUGGGUUUGUGUAAUUUUUAAUAGCAAUUGGCUAAUUAUAUUAGCUAUUACACAUAGAGUCCCUGUUGUCAAUUAUAAAAUUAAUUACAUAAUUAGUCAAACUGAAAUGUAAUGCUUUUGCAGUCAAAGUAACAUUAUUGCAAAUGUUACGUUUUAAUUUGUAUGGAAACAUAGACUGUAUAAAAAAUGUUUAAAUAAUAUGUUUACAUUUAGAAAGCUAUAUUUGUUAUUACUGAAGUGUUACAAAUGUAGGAAAGCCUGUCUAUAACUUUAAAUGUAUUAUUUUUUUCAAAUAUGAAAACAUAAAAAGGUUAAUUAUCACUUCUUUCCUCAAACAGAUUCAGUGCAGCAAAUGUGAAAGGUGGUUUCACUUUCAGUCUGUCAACAUAAAAAAAGAAGACCUACACAAAUUUAAAAGAAGAAAGUGGUUUUGUACAGUCUGUGAGUAAAACAGACUUACCUACAUGAUAAUCCAAAGUCGUGUAAAUCAAUACAUACUUUUAUUUGAUUUUUUUACUUAAUUUUAUACAGUUUAUUUUAUUCAAUGACUGUUGUUGAAAUGGAGAC
Molecule: long non-coding RNA, 2385 nt
Organism: Cyprinus carpio carpio
Lineage: Eukaryota; Metazoa; Chordata; Actinopteri; Cypriniformes; Cyprinidae
Source: Ensembl